AACGCACAUUGCGCCCGCUAGUAUUCUGGCGGGCAUGCCUGUUCGAGCGUCAUUUCAACCCUCAAGCUCUGCUUGGUGUUGGGGCCCUACAGUCACCUGUAGGCCCUGAAAACUAGUGGCGGGCUCGCUAUAACUCCGAGCGUAGUAGAAACACCUCGCUUUGGACGUGAUGGCGGGAUCCGGCCGUUAAACCCCCCAAUUUUCUGAAUGUUGACCUCGGAUCAGGUAGGAAUACCCGCUGAACUUAA
RNAcentral lists this unclassified non-coding RNA (248 nucleotides) under Cordana sp. RNAcentral's name for it is "partial contains 5.8S ribosomal RNA, internal transcribed spacer 2, and large subunit ribosomal RNA". Lineage: Eukaryota; Fungi; Ascomycota; Sordariomycetes; Coniochaetales; Cordanaceae. The record is from RNAcentral. RNAcentral also lists the same sequence under 2 other names.